UACGUAGGGGGCAAGCGUUGUCCGGAAUUAUUGGGCGUAAAGAGCGUGUAGGCGGCCCGGUAAGUCCGCUGUGAAAGUCCAGGGCUCAACCCUGGGAUGCCGGUGGAUACUGUCGGGCUCGAGUCCGGAAGAGGAGUGUGGAAUUCCUGGUGUAGCGGUGAAAUGCGCAGAUAUCAGGAGGAACACCAAUGGCGAAAGCAGCUCUCCGGGACGGUACUGACGCUGAGACGCGAAAGCGUGGGGAGCGAACAGG
Molecule: ribosomal RNA, 253 nt
Filed under: uncultured bacterium
Lineage: Bacteria
Description: partial 16S ribosomal RNA
Rfam family: Bacterial small subunit ribosomal RNA
Source: RNAcentral